RNAcentral lists this long non-coding RNA (445 nucleotides) under Phascolarctos cinereus (koala). RNAcentral's name for it is "lncRNA (ENSPCIG00000036610.1)". The record is from RNAcentral. Lineage: Eukaryota; Metazoa; Chordata; Mammalia; Diprotodontia; Phascolarctidae.
AUGAACUGCCCAGAGAGGGAGCUCAAACCUGAAAAAUCAAGGUUAGCAUUCUCCAAACGUAAACAUUUUCAACAGGAGACACAGCAAAACAUGAAAGGAAAGCUUUCAGCCCUAACCCCAGAGAGCACUGACAAUUUCGCACCGAAAGGACGUCCUGGUUUCCGGCAGAAUCACCAGCACCGCCACCACAACAAAAAAAGAGCAAACUGUGUAAUCUUCAUCUCCUGAAUCCCGCUUUCCAGGACUGGUUUCCUGAAUGGCUGGCUGCGUUUUACCCUGGACCUGGCCCCCGGACACUUUCAAGCCUUGAUCAUCCUGAGGCUUUUCCUCUCUUCGAUCCUUCUGCUCUCCAGUUUACGCACCUCCAGAGCCCGGAGCACCCGCCCCGGCAGCGGCAGCGGCAGCGGCGGCGCGGCGGCGGCGCGGCGGCGGCGGCGGCGGCGGC